UAUGUAUGUGUGUGUGUGUGUGUGUGUGUGUGUGUUGUACACACACACACACACACACACAGUUUUGACAGG
Molecule: non-coding RNA, 72 nt
Organism: Podarcis lilfordi (Lilford's wall lizard)
Lineage: Eukaryota; Metazoa; Chordata; Lepidosauria; Squamata; Lacertidae
Source: the annotation of a GenBank genome assembly